UACGAAGGGGGCUAGCGUUGUUCGGAAUUACUGGGCGUAAAGCGCACGUAGGCGGUCUUUUAAGUCGGGGGUGAAAUCCUGGAGCUCAACUCCAGAACUGCCCUUGAUACUGGCGGUCUCGAGUCCGGGAGAGGUGAGUGGAACUGCGAGUGUAGAGGUGAAAUUCGUAGAUAUUCGCAAGAACACCAGUGGCGAAGGCGGCUCACUGGCCCGGUACUGACGCUGAGGUGCGAAAGCGUGGGGAGCAAACAGG
This 253-nucleotide ribosomal RNA is filed under the name uncultured bacterium. RNAcentral describes it as "partial 16S ribosomal RNA". It matches the Rfam family "Bacterial small subunit ribosomal RNA", at positions 524 to 776 of the family's 1533-position model. The record is from RNAcentral.